Myzus persicae (green peach aphid) is the source of this 508-nucleotide long non-coding RNA. RefSeq lists it as uncharacterized. The transcript has 2 exons. NCBI's taxonomy places the organism in Eukaryota, Metazoa, Arthropoda, Insecta, Hemiptera, Aphididae. The record is from RefSeq and is a predicted model, not a curated record.
ACUACCACUUGACGGAUGUACCCGCACGGAUGGCCGCUGCCACUUCGCGAUCGGCACGAACAAUGAGGACGUAUACACGCGACCGUCGUAUCGGCCACUAACGGAUUGGCUGCGAACGGAAUACAUCACACUUCCAUAUACCGCAAGACGACCACAACGAGGACACCGCGGAGUGACGACACGUCACGAAUGGGAUGCCGAAAGAAUUUACAAUAAUUUGUCCGAUGUACUAGUACAAGUUAUUUCUAUGAAUUUCAAAAAAAAAAAAAACUAUUAAAAUAACAAAAUAUGAUAAACAAUAUAAAACGCAAUGGAUAUUCAGAGUUACUCACUCAAUUUGGAUGUGAUGUUCAAAUUGGCGCCACCACAACCUCCUUGAGUGAGCGACUCGGGGAUCUACAUGCUCGUCGCAGGCUGCAGUGCCCGCUUGGAUUAUUGUUUUGUUUGAUUAACAAUAUGCCUAACAGAUAACAUUAUUAUCAUUUCGAUUAAGUGACGCGAUGCCGUG